UACGGGGGGGGCAAGCGUUGUUCGGAAUUACUGGGCGUAAAGGGCGCGUAGGCGGCCUUCUAAGUCAGACGUGAAAUCCCUCGGCUCAACCGAGGAACUGCGUCUGAUACUGGAAGGCUUGAAUCCGGGAGAGGGAUGUGGAAUUCCAGGUGUAGCGGUGAAAUGCGUAGAUAUCAGGAGGAACACCCGUGGCGAAAGCGGCUCUCUGGGACGGUACUGACGCUGAGACGCGAAAGCGUGGGGAGCAAACAGG
Molecule: ribosomal RNA, 253 nt
Filed under: uncultured bacterium
Lineage: Bacteria
Description: partial 16S ribosomal RNA
Rfam family: Bacterial small subunit ribosomal RNA
Source: RNAcentral